Molecule: non-coding RNA, 70 nt
Organism: Podarcis lilfordi (Lilford's wall lizard)
Lineage: Eukaryota; Metazoa; Chordata; Lepidosauria; Squamata; Lacertidae
Source: the annotation of a GenBank genome assembly
GCCUAGCUCAGUUGGUUAGAACAUGGUACUCCUAAUGCCAAGGUUUCAGGUUUGAUCCCUAUAUGGGACA